Molecule: ribosomal RNA, 497 nt
Filed under: uncultured bacterium
Lineage: Bacteria
Description: partial 16S ribosomal RNA
Rfam family: Bacterial small subunit ribosomal RNA
Source: RNAcentral
GAUGAACGCUGGCGGCGUGCCUAAUACAUGCAAGUCGAGCGAACAGACGAGGAGCUUGCUCCUCUGACGUUAGCGGCGGACGGGUGAGUAACACGUGGAUAACCUACCUAUAAGACUGGGAUAACUUCGGGAAACCGGAGCUAAUACCGGAUAAUAUAUUGAACCGCAUGGUUCAAUAGUGAAAGACGGUUUUGCUGUCACUUAUAGAUGGAUCCGCGCCGCAUUAGCUAGUUGGUAAGGUAGCGGCUUACCAAGGCAACGAUGCGUAGCCGACCUGAGAGGGUGAUCGGCCACACUGGAACUGAGACACGGUCCAGACUCCUACGGGAGGCAGCAGUAGGGAAUCUUCCGCAAUGGGCGAAAGCCUGACGGAGCAACGCCGCGUGAGUGAUGAAGGUCUUCGGAUCGUAAAACUCUGUUAUUAGGGAAGAACAAAUGUGUAAGUAACUAUGCACGUCUUGACGGUACCUAAUCAGAAAGCCACGGCUAACUACAUG